This 71-nucleotide transfer RNA is filed under the name Chiasmodon niger (black swallower). RNAcentral describes it as "tRNA-Ile". RNAcentral also lists the same sequence under 1 other name. Lineage: Eukaryota; Metazoa; Chordata; Actinopteri; Scombriformes; Chiasmodontidae. The record is from RNAcentral.
GGAUUUGUGCCUGAAGCCCAAGGGCCACUUUGAUAGAGUGAACCAUGGGGGUUAAAGUCCCCCCAAAUCUU